Corythoichthys intestinalis (scribbled pipefish) is the source of this 5816-nucleotide long non-coding RNA. RefSeq lists it as uncharacterized. Lineage: Eukaryota; Metazoa; Chordata; Actinopteri; Syngnathiformes; Syngnathidae. The transcript is spliced from 3 exons. The record is from RefSeq and is a predicted model, not a curated record.
UUUAAAGUUCACCCGACAAGCGCAAGAACAGAAGCAAGCUUUCCUUUGUGGACGACCGCCUCAUCCAGCUCUCCUCCGCGAGCCGUUUUCACUCAGGACCUAAAGUUCUAACGUCUCCUCAGAAUGGGUGUCAAGAUGCUCCAAUGUUUCCCCUUCUACAGACACUGCAAAGAGCGAUGCAAAAGCAAAGGGUUGCCCUCAGAGACUGAUGAGCGUAAAACCCGCCUGGGCUCCACCACGUCCUGGGGCAGCGACAGCUUGACUCGGGGCCCCCACAUCUAUUUCUCCUCCAAAGCCAGAAUGUCUUUUCGACACCAGCUGGACAGCAACGUCAACGCCGUGGACGCCACCGACUAAGAACCAGCUAUUUUUGAAUAUCUGAGGAGCUUCCUCAGAAGGGACAAAACAGGAGUUUUCUUUUUCUUCUUUUUUAAUACGGUUAAUACGGUGCCUUGAGACGCGAGUGAGCUGACUUUUGAGAUGGUAGCAGAUUUAUUUGCUUUGAGAUACAAGGCAAUGAACUCAACAAAUCUUCGGUCACGUAACUUUGCCUUAUACAUAGACCGGCAUAGCGUCAAAAGAAUAUACUUAUCUGCUGUUAAAACGAUUGCAAAAAGCUGUUGACAUUCAUUCAUGUGUGACAGGCGUUUAACCCCUUCAUGCCUGGAUUUACAUUGAAAAAUAACUCAUAAGUACAUAAAAAUAGUACAGUGGUACCUCUACUUAAGAACGUCUCUAUAUACAGAAUUUUCAGGUUAAGACACACCUCAACGGGAAAGUAUUGCCUCUUGUUAAGAAAGAAAUUUCAGGAUACAAAAGGCAACAAUACAGUACGGUUGGUACUUCCAGUUUACUGAACGUAACAUAUACUUAUAGCGCUCUGCCAUUAGCUCUUGCCUAAGCGGGACCUCCACUGUAUGUGUGUAUCCCACCAUCCUCUUCAUUCGCCCCUCUUGUUCCGACAGCUUUACAUGAGUGUAUUAACUUUGAUUAUUUACUCAAUUCUUGUUUUUUUUACAUUACUAUGUACAACUGAGUCACAUUUUAUGUUUAUUAUGCAAUACAGGUAGAAUUGUAGACGUACUCGACAUACGUGAUUUCGACUUCACGCCGGAGUCUCAUCCGCCAUUUUGUCUCCAGUCUUUUUUUUUUUUUUUUGUCGCGUAACAGUGUCUCUUCUGCCAUUUUUUCGCCAGUCACAAUCUUAUUUUUUUACUCUAUUUUAUUAAUAUGAUGUAUAAUACAUGUUUUUGGAUAGUUAUUUUGAGAUUUAUGGGGUAUUUGGGGGUACUUAAAGGGUUAAUUCCGACUCACGCAGAAGAACAAAACUCGUUUGUAAGUCGGGGACUACCUGUAUACAUCAAAAAGCAUAUAUAAGUACACGAAAUUGAAAAAUACAACUAAAAAUUGGAAAAUACAACAUUUUUUAAAAAAUUCAAAUUAUUUUUAAAAAUUAAAAACUAUAGUAACAAGUUUAUUAAUAAAUUCCUACUUUUUAAAAAUGUAAAUGAAUUAUUUCCGCUUUUCAAAAUAUAAUUUUGCAUUUUGAUUUCUAUAUUUACGUUUAUUGAUUCAAAGCAACACUCGGUAACUAUUCAGUUUUGGCUGAUUUUAGCGACGCCGGUGGACAAAAGCGGUAGUGUUUUGCCUUAAGGAAAACGCACACCCGCACAGUGUCGUAAAAUCAUGAUCUCCCGGUUGCCUGCAGAUGGAUUAAAUGACAUUUCUGUUUCCCGCCGCUGUGUGAAGGAUGUAUAGGAAUAAGCUUAUAAAUGUUUGAAUAAGGUUAUAGAUGGACGUUUGAACACCAAUCGUUUAGUGUCGACUGUUUUAUUGUUUGCGCCUAAAAAAAUAAAAAAUAAACGAGACUCCGGCGUCAUGUAGUCGAAAUUGCGUAAAUCGGGUAUGUCGUAACCGGGGGACUACCUGUAUUUCGUCAAUGUAAAUUCAGCCAUCAUUGGUUUAAUCUUGGUAACAGCAUUGGCAUAUAUGUGAUACUAUUUACAUUUUAUUUACAUGCUUUUUCAGAAUGAAACAUUCCGCCUGGUCGGGUUGUCAAAGUAUCGUAUCCGGAUACGAUAUUUGAUUGCAAAAGUAUUGAUACGCCGUCAUUUGUUUUUGCACUACCAACAGGAAUAUGUUGUCAUUGGGUAGAUUUCAUUUUGCACUAUUCUUGAUAGUAAUGGAGGAUAUUUUUGCAUUUUGCUCGUUAACCCAUUGGCUGCCAUUGACGAUAGCGGACGUUCGCUGAUGGCCAUCCCACUUCAAAUGGAUUGGAUUUCUACUCAUAGACUUCACUAUCAGGGCCGCUCCGUAGGGGGCCUAUUUUCAAAAACUUCUGAAUCCAGAUUAUUUUACAUCUAAAUAUUUAAAAAAAACUUAAAAUGGCUAUUUAAUUCUCAGACAUUUACGCUAGAUGCACAAAUAUCACCAGAUCCAGAGAUAAUCCCUAGGACUGCAGCUAUCUGUUAUUUUAGUAGUCAAUUAAUCGAUGAACUUGUUAGUUCGAAUAAUCGAGUAAUCAGAUAAGGAACAUUAAAAAUCAAAAUACCUGAGCCCCAAACGGUAUGAAAAAAAAUUAGAAUCUAAGUACCAUAAUUUUUGGACUAUAAGCCGCUACUUUUUUCCUUCAUUUUGAAUCAUGCGGCUUAUAGUCCAGUGUGGCUUAUUUGUUGAUUUAUUUGGUUUAAUAGGUAACACUUUUUUUGACAGCGGCGUCAUAACACAGUUAUAAUUAUGACAUGACACUAUCAUGGGCAUUACUGAAUGCUUAUGACAGAUGUCAUUAAGUGUCAUCGGGCAAAUUAUGUCACAAACUCGAUUUAUGUCCAGCACGGCUCUUUUACAUCCAUUCAAAACGGAGAUAAUUUGGCAGAUAACACUUAAUGAAAUCUGUUAUCAGCAUUUAUUAACGCUCAUGACAAUGUCAUAUCAUAAUUUUGAUUGUCUAAUGACAGUCUUAUGGCGCCACUGUCAAAUAAAGUGUUACCAAAUACCAUCAUUAGCAAUUAAUGAGACGACAAGAAGAGUAACUGAAGAAAUAAUUGGCGCAGAACAUGAAUUUUGAUUGUUAUUUACAUCUGUAGCGCUGCAAUGCAUGCUAGGAGGCAUGUUGGGCAACAACAGUAUUGACAGCAGGUGGCAGCAAAACUGGACUGUCUCCCCCAAGGGAGCAGUGAUGGCCAAAUGAAGCUUCUUGAAGCAAUGAAGCUUUGAACCAAUUGGCUGCAAAUGGUGGUUCAUUUGGUCUUAUGACAGUCGUAUGAUGCCGCUGUCAAAUAAAGUGUUACCGGUGAAUAUCUUUUGAUGUAAAUAUCCCAUAAUACAGUUAGGACGGCUGCGGCUUAUAGUCCAGUGCGGCUUAUCUAUGAACAAAUGUCGUUUUCGUGUCAAAUUUGGUGGGUGGCGGCUUGUAGUCAGGUGCGCCUUAUAGUGCGAAAAUUACGGUACAACAAAAAAACAAUUUGCUAACUUACAUAGCAAAAGUCCGCUAGCAUAAAUGCUAUAAAAUGCUAAUUUUUUUAUUUUUUAUUUUUUAUUUUUUUUACAAUGCUCUCGACAAAUGGUUCAAACACAAAUUCCCACAAAAAUGGCUAACUAUACCUAUAAACUGAAUUACGAACGCAUUAAAAAAACAUUACCUCAAACAAAAACUUAUGUUGGUCUUAACAGGGAGCAGUUGGAUUCUACCAUGUGAAAUGAGUUAUGUCAUAUUCACUGUCACCACUAAAGGGCAGUGUAUCCACCUAAUUCCACAAAACCAAAUAGAAACACUUUCAAAAUAAACCAUUACAUCGCCACCUGAAUUGAACGAACACUCGAAGCAGCAAAAUUAAUUUGAAUCCAUUUUCUAAUCAAAUUACUCAAGUUAAUCGAUUAAUCGUUGCAGCACUAAUAAUCACCUAUAUUUUCAGGAUCAUUUGCAAUAUUUAACAUAUCAUAUAAGCUUUUGCCUGAAAUACCGAUUUUUAUGCACUAAAACUUUCGUCCUGUUUCCACCUAAAUCCGGCGUUAGAACGCAGCGUGUUUCAGUUUAUCGCAGUGAAAGCUUCCAUGACGCUCUACCUGACCAGGCCCCCGACGGGAAGCCGUGGCGCAAUGUCUGUAGGAGCUGUCUCGUCAACUGAUAGUGAAGUCUAUGGUCUACUCAUGAUAAACUCAUUUAAAUGCUAAUGUUUUCAUAGCCACAUGAUUGGACGUCUAUUACCGUCAAUGGCGCCGAAAGAUUUCAUAGCAAUUGCACGUCCCUGACUAAAGUUUGUGCUUCAAAACAUUCCUUGAACAUGAGAAGCAAUGACAUCGGAUGCUUAUUGAUCGCCACGGAAUGCUGAUAAGGCAACUUAGCAUGCGUCGUUAGCUAAACGUUUGUCAGCCUUUAUCCAAAUACAUGGAUUGGCCAUGCUUUUUUUGAAAGUUAGCAGAAGAAAAAUCCCAUGUCGGGGUGCAAAGUUUGAAACGUUCUAAGAAAAUUGAGGUGGAAUAAACCAGAAAUUUCUGAAAACUGAUUUUCUGAUCUGAAUAGCAACUUAAGUGUUAGCAUGCAAGUAGAGCUGAAUAACCCACCUAGCGCGAUGCUAACUGCAGCGCUAGUUGUAACUUUCUCUUUUGGUGGCUCUCACGAGCUCAAAUCGACGAUGACGUGCUCCCAGAUGUGCGUGUUCCCCUUGAAGCUGGACGUGAAGACAAAGUCCUGGCGGUCGGUGGACACGGCGGUGAAGGAUCGCGGCGCCUGGAUGUAGACCUCCUUGAAGCGCUCGAAGACGCCUUGUUCUGCGUCCCAGAGGAAGAUCUGCGAGAAGGUGUAGUCGCUCCCCAGGGCCAGAUAGUGGCGGUCCUUGAAGGAGAACGGCUGGAGGAUCAUAGCGCCUCUUGACGGUAGCGCCUGGAUCUCCGAGAACUGUUUGGCGCCCCAGUGCAGAACUUUGGAGUCUCCGAUGUAACGCGUCAGGGCGAGGUAGAGCUCAUCCUUGAUGCGGAAGUGCUUGACGGCCACCGCGUCCUCCGUGUUGGGGAUUUCGCCAAAGAGCGCAAACUUCUGGUUGCUCCGGCUCCACUGGUAGAUAACCGGAACCUGGGAACGGCUAGCCAGGAUCAGGUGUGCUUUUCCAUCCAAGUCCAAGAACUCGGCGUCCGUGUCGCGGUACCACUCGUGAAGGGACUGGUAGGAAUAAAAGCCGUUCUCGUUCCACUUGUAGAGAGUGGACAGACCUGCUUUGGAGCUGUCGGCGAUGACGAAGAAUCGUUCGGCGCCGAUCCGGAACACCUCGAUGUCGUUGGGCUUGGAGAUUUUGGACACCUCGAUGUCCUGGAAUUUGGUGAAGGUGCUCUGGUCCUCAUCAAACUUGUAGAUGUGCGAGCCGCCGAAGAGCUGAGCCACGAUGAUGAACACCUGGUCCUCGAUGACCAUCGAGUUGCACCCCACGAUAGACUGACCUAAAAGUAGGAGUGGGAACCUCUUGGUACCUCACAAACAACUAAUUAACAGAAAAACAAGCUUCUAGUGUGAAUUGGAAUUAGUUUAUCACUAGUAGAUCACUAGUUUAUCACAAGUAGACGUCCAAUCCAUUUGAACUGGGAGGGUGGCAGGGAAUGAACAUUCGUUCAUUCGCUGCCAUCCCUCCCACUUCAAACGGAUUGAACGUCUAUGUCUGUCAGUGGCAGUCAAUGCCAGGCAAUUAGGUCAUUUUGGGCCAUUUUAGGUCUAACUGGAACAGCACCAAACAAAAGUUCCAGCAUCAUCACCCUGUCCAAUGCAGAUUCUUGACUCUUGACAAGGUGAUGAAGCUGGAACUUUUGUUUGGUGGCGUUCCAAUGAG